GACGAACGCUGGCGGCGUGCUUAACACAUGCAAGUCGAACGGAAAGGCCCUGCUUUUGUGGGGUGCUCGAGUGGCGAACGGGUGAGUAACACGUGAGUAACCUGCCCUUGACUUUGGGAUAACUUCAGGAAACUGGGGCUAAUACCGGAUAGGAUCUCCUGCUGCAUGGUGGGGGUUGGAAAGUUUCGGCGGUUGGGGAUGGACUCGCGGCUUAUCAGCUUGUUGGUGGGGUAGUGGCUUACCAAGGCUUUGACGGGUAGCCGGCCUGAGAGGGUGACCGGCCACAUGGGGACUGAGAGACGGCCCAGACUCCUACGGGAGGCAGCAGUGGGGAAUAUUGAACAAUGGGCGGAAGCCUGAUGCAGCAACGCCGCGUGCGGGAUGACGGCCUUCGGGUUGUAAACCGCUUUCGCCUGUGACGAAGCGUGAGUGACGGUAAUGGGUAAAGAAGCACCGGCUAACUACGUG
RNAcentral lists this ribosomal RNA (468 nucleotides) under uncultured bacterium. Its description in RNAcentral is "partial 16S ribosomal RNA". It matches the Rfam family "Bacterial small subunit ribosomal RNA", at positions 28 to 507 of the family's 1533-position model. The record is from RNAcentral.